Molecule: ribosomal RNA, 253 nt
Filed under: uncultured bacterium
Lineage: Bacteria
Description: partial 16S ribosomal RNA
Rfam family: Bacterial small subunit ribosomal RNA
Source: RNAcentral
UACGGAGGGGGCUAGCGUUUUUCGGAAUUACUGGGCGUAAAGGGCGCGUAGGCGGACCUGUCAGUCAGGCGUGAAAGCCCAGGGCUCAACCCUGGAGCUGCGCUUGAUACUGCGGGUCUAGAGUGCCGGAGAGGAUGGUGGAAUUCCCAGUGUAGAGGUGAAAUUCGUAGAUAUUGGGAAGAACACCGGUGGCGAAGGCGGCCAUCUGGACGGCAACUGACGCUGAGGCGCGAAAGCGUGGGGAGCAAACAGG